RNAcentral lists this ribosomal RNA (681 nucleotides) under uncultured Staphylococcus sp. RNAcentral's name for it is "bacterial SSU rRNA". It matches the Rfam family "Bacterial small subunit ribosomal RNA", at positions 65 to 728 of the family's 1533-position model. Lineage: Bacteria; Bacillati; Bacillota; Bacilli; Caryophanales; Staphylococcaceae. The record is from RNAcentral.
AGCGAACAGACGAGGAGCUUGCUCCUCUGACGUUAGCGGCGGACGGGUGAGUAACACGUGGAUAACCUACCUAUAAGACUGGGAUAACUUCGGGAAACCGGAGCUAAUACCGGAUAAUAUAUUGAACCGCAUGGUUCAAUAGUGAAAGACGGUUUUGCUGUCACUUAUAGAUGGAUCCGCGCCGCAUUAGCUAGUUGGUAAGGUAACGGCUUACCAAGGCAACGAUGCGUAGCCGACCUGAGAGGGUGAUCGGCCACACUGGAACUGAGACACGGUCCAGACUCCUACGGGAGGCAGCAGUAGGGAAUCUUCCGCAAUGGGCGAAAGCCUGACGGAGCAACGCCGCGUGAGUGAUGAAGGUCUUCGGAUCGUAAAACUCUGUUAUUAGGGAAGAACAAAUGUGUAAGUAACUACGCACGUCUUGACGGUACCUAAUCAGAAAGCCACGGCUAACUACGUGCCAGCAGCCGCGGUAAUACGUAGGUGGCAAGCGUUAUCCGGAAUUAUUGGGCGUAAAGCGCGCGUAGGCGGUUUUUUAAGUCUGAUGUGAAAGCCCACGGCUCAACCGUGGAGGGUCAUUGGAAACUGGAAAACUUGAGUGCAGAAGAGGAAAGUGGAAUUCCAUGUGUAGCGGUGAAAUGCGCAGAGAUAUGGAGGAACACCAGUGGCGAAGGCGACUUU